GAUGAACGCUGGCGGCGUGCCUAAUACAUGCAAGUCGAGCGAACGGACGAGAAGCUUGCUUCUCUGAUGUUAGCGGCGGACGGGUGAGUAACACGUGGAUAACCUACCUAUCAGACUGGGAUAACUUCGGGAAACCGGAGCUAAUACCGGAUAAUAUUUUGCACCGCAUGGUUCAAAAGUGAAAGACGGUCUUGCUGUCACUUAUAGAUGGAUCCGCGCUGCAUUAGCUAGUUGGUAAGGUAACGGCUUACCACGGCAACGAUGCAUAGCCGACCUGAGAGGGUGAUCGCCCACACUGGAACUGAGACACGGUCCAGACUCCUACGGGAGGCAGCAGUAGGGAAUCGUCCGCAAUGGGCGAAAGCCUGACGGAGCAACGCCGCGUGAGUGAUGAAGGUCUUCGGAUCGUAAAACUCUGUUAUUAGGGAAGAACAUAUGUGUAAGUAACUGUGCACAUCUUGACGGUACCUAAUCAGAAAGCCACGGCUAACUACGUG
This 497-nucleotide ribosomal RNA is filed under the name uncultured bacterium. RNAcentral's name for it is "partial 16S ribosomal RNA". It matches the Rfam family "Bacterial small subunit ribosomal RNA", at positions 28 to 507 of the family's 1533-position model. The record is from RNAcentral.